CAUGCAGGACUAGUAUAAAUGGAGCUGCACAUACAAUUUCAUCGUACAGGCUUCUUAAACUUUCCUGCUAAACCAUUUUUGGGAAAAAUGGGCAGUUGAGUUAGGCCAAUUUAUCUAUGGUUUCCUCAACAAUCAUUUUUCCCACAUGU
This is a non-coding RNA of Oryza barthii, 149 nucleotides long. Lineage: Eukaryota; Viridiplantae; Streptophyta; Magnoliopsida; Poales; Poaceae. The record is from Rfam.